RNAcentral lists this small RNA (265 nucleotides) under Arabidopsis thaliana (thale cress). RNAcentral's name for it is "ATSL230780". Lineage: Eukaryota; Viridiplantae; Streptophyta; Magnoliopsida; Brassicales; Brassicaceae. The record is from RNAcentral.
AAGGAUUUGUUUUUAGAUUGCCUCACAUCACCUUUAGCUUGUUUUCGAUAUAAAACCACGGAAACAAAGCUAGUCUUCGAGGCAUAUAUUGAACUGCGGUGUUAACGUGGAGGCAUACUUGUUCAUCAUAGUUUAGCCUCUAAAAUUAUCCGCUAAACCACUUCAUUUUCAUUUAUUCGUUUUUGCCUUUGUUUUUUGUUUUCCAGAUUUGGCAUUUGUCUGAAACUGGCUAAUUAUGAGCAAAAUCAUUUGGAAUCUGUGAAUC